RNAcentral lists this ribosomal RNA (333 nucleotides) under uncultured Methanomicrobiales archaeon. RNAcentral's name for it is "bacterial SSU rRNA". It matches the Rfam family "Archaeal small subunit ribosomal RNA", at positions 1005 to 1338 of the family's 1478-position model. Lineage: Archaea; Methanobacteriati; Methanobacteriota; Methanomicrobia; Methanomicrobiales. The record is from RNAcentral.
CAGUUCGUACUGUGAAGCAUCCUGUUAAGUCAGGCAACGAGCGAGACCACGCCAACAGUUGCCAGCUCGUCCUCCGGGAUGGUGGGGACACUGUUGGGACCGCCUCUGCUAAAGAGGAGGAAGGAAUGGGCAACGGUAGGUCAGCAUGCCCCGAAUUAUCUGGGCUACACGCGGGCUACAAUGGGUGGGACAAUGGGUAUCGACACCGAAAGGUGAAGGCAAUCUCCUAAACCCAUCCGUAGUUCGGAUUGUGGGCUGCAACUCGCCCACAUGAAGCUGGAAUCUGUAGUAAUCGUGUCUCAAAAUGGCACGGUGAAUAUGUCCCUGCUCCUU